This 450-nucleotide ribosomal RNA is filed under the name uncultured bacterium. RNAcentral describes it as "partial 16S ribosomal RNA". It matches the Rfam family "Bacterial small subunit ribosomal RNA", at positions 354 to 796 of the family's 1533-position model. The record is from RNAcentral.
GUGGGGAAUUUUGGACAAUGGGCGCAAGCCUGAUCCAGCAAUGCCGCGUGCAGGAAGAAGGCCUUCGGGUUGUAAACUGCUUUUGUACGGAACGAAACGGUCCUGGUUAAUACCUGGGGCUAAUGACGGUACCGUAAGAAUAAGCACCGGCUAACUACGUGCCAGCAGCCGCGGUAAUACGUAGGGUGCGAGCGUUAAUCGGAAUUACUGGGCGUAAAGCGUGCGCAGGCGGUUAUGUAAGACAGAUGUGAAAUCCCCGGGCUCAACCUGGGAACGGCAUUUGUGACUGCAUAGCUAGAGUACGGCAGAGGGGGAUGGAAUUCCGCGUGUAGCAGUGAAAUGCGUAGAUAUGCGGAGGAACACCGAUGGCGAAGGCAAUCCCCUGGGCCUGUACUGACGCUCAUGCACGAAAGCGUGGGGAGCAAACAGGAUUAGAAACCCCGGUAGUCC